This 1021-nucleotide ribosomal RNA is filed under the name metagenome. RNAcentral describes it as "bacterial LSU rRNA". It matches the Rfam family "Bacterial large subunit ribosomal RNA", at positions 1921 to 2925 of the family's 2925-position model. The record is from RNAcentral.
CGGUAAACGGCGGCCGUAACUAUAACGGUCCUAAGGUAGCGAAAUUCCUUGUCGGGUAAGUUCCGACCUGCACGAAUGGCGUAACGAUCUCCGCGCUGUCUCGGCCAGAGACUCAGUGAAAUUGAAAUCUCGGUGAAGAUGCCGAGUACCCGCAGCAAGACGGAAAGACCCUGUGCACCUUUACUACAGCUUGACAUUGGACUUUGGGCUAUCAUGUGUAGGAUAGGUGGGAGGCUGUGAAGCCGGUACGCCAGUAUCGGUGGAGCCGCCCUUGAAAUACCACCCUUGGUAGUCUAGGGUUCUAACCCAGAGCCGUGAAUCCGGUCUGGGGACAGUGUCUGGUGGGUAGUUUGACUGGGGCGGUCGCCUCCCAAAGAGUAACGGAGGCGUGCAAAGGUUCCCUCAGGCUGAUUGGAAACCAGCCGUUGAGUGCAAAGGCAUAAGGGAGCUUGACUGUGAGAGAGACAUCUCGAGCAGGGACGAAAGUCGGCCUUAGUGAUCCGGUGGUUCCGCAUGGAAGGGCCAUCGCUCAUCGGAUAAAAGGUACGCCGGGGAUAACAGGCUGAUCGCGUCCAAGAGUUCACAUCGACGACGCGGUUUGGCACCUCGAUGUCGGCUCAUCACAUCCUGGGGCUGGAGCAGGUCCCAAGGGUACGGCUGUUCGCCGUUUAAAGUGGUACGCGAGCUGGGUUUAAAACGUCGUGAGACAGUUUGGUCCCUAUCUGCUGUGGGCGUAGGAGACUUGAGAGGGCCUGCCCCUAGUACGAGAGGACCGGGGUGGACGAUCCUCUGGUGGACCUGUUGUCGCGCCAGCGGCACAGCAGGGUAGCUAUGAUCGGAAGGGAUAACCGCUGAAGGCAUCUAAGCGGGAAGCCUGCCUCAAGAUAAGGUCUCCCUCUGAGCACCUAAAUCAGGUGCUUGGCUGAAGGACCCUGGAAGACGACCAGGUAGAUAGGCCGGAAGUGUAAGUGCAGUGAUGCAUUUAGCUGACCGGUACUAAUAGUCCGUGAGUCUUAACCCU